This is a long non-coding RNA of Chelmon rostratus (copperband butterflyfish), 289 nucleotides long. RefSeq lists it as uncharacterized. The transcript is spliced from 3 exons. The record is from RefSeq and is a predicted model, not a curated record. Lineage: Eukaryota; Metazoa; Chordata; Actinopteri; Chaetodontiformes; Chaetodontidae.
UAUUAUCUAUUUACAUUGCAUACGUUAGUUACAUUUUUGGCCUUGGUUUCCUCCCGUUCGGAAGACGGAUCAGCUACGGAGGUGGGGCUCGACUCCUUGACCUUCCGAACCCUCACUCGCUUUCCCUUGGUCAGCUCAUCCUCCACUGCCUCUCUGGUGUCUGGAUCAGGGGUAAAGAACACAAAUGACCGUGCCUUUAACAAAUAGUGGGGAAGGACAAAGCAUGGAGGAUGUUGAGACCAUGUCUCCAUCUCGGCACAACAGCCCUCCUGCUGGCACCACUGAUCUG